CUACGGAGGGUGCGAGCGUUAAUCGGAAUUACUGGGCGUAAAGCGUACGUAGGCGGUUUGCUAAGUCAGGUGUGAAAGCCCCGGGCUUAACCUGGGAACUGCAUUUGAUACUGGCAGACUAGAGUAUGAUAGAGGGGGGUAGAAUUCCUGGUGUAGCGGUGAAAUGCGUAGAUAUCAGGAGGAAUACCAGUGGCGAAGGCGGCCCCCUGGAUCAAUACUGACGCUGAGGUACGAAAGCGUGGGGAGCGAACAGGAUUAGAAACCCUAGUAGUCC
RNAcentral lists this ribosomal RNA (274 nucleotides) under uncultured bacterium. Its description in RNAcentral is "partial 16S ribosomal RNA". It matches the Rfam family "Bacterial small subunit ribosomal RNA", at positions 523 to 796 of the family's 1533-position model. The record is from RNAcentral.